UGGGGAAUAUUGCACAAUGGGCGCAAGCCUGAUGCAGCCAUGCCGCGUGUGUGAAGAAGGCCUUCGGGUUGUAAAGCACUUUCAGCGAGGAGGAAGGUGGUGAGCUUAAUACGCUCAUCAAUUGACGUUACUCGCAGAAGAAGCACCGGCUAACUCCGUGCCAGCAGCCGCGGUAAUACGGAGGGUGCAAGCGUUAAUCGGAAUUACUGGGCGUAAAGCGCACGCAGGCGGUUUGUUAAGUCAGAUGUGAAAUCCCCGGGCUCAACCUGGGAACUGCAUUUGAAACUGGCAAGCUAGAGUCUCGUAGAGGGGGGUAGAAUUCCAGGUGUAGCGGUGAAAUGCGUAGAGAUCUGGAGGAAUACCGGUGGCGAAGGCGGCCCCCUGGACGAAGACUGACGCUCAGGUGCGAAAGCGUGGGGAGCAAACAGGAUUAGNUACCCUGGUAGUCACGCUGUAAACGAUGUCGAUUUUGGAGGUUGUGCCCCUUGAGGCGUGG
RNAcentral lists this ribosomal RNA (496 nucleotides) under uncultured bacterium. Its description in RNAcentral is "partial 16S ribosomal RNA". It matches the Rfam family "Bacterial small subunit ribosomal RNA", at positions 355 to 842 of the family's 1533-position model. The record is from RNAcentral.